GACGAACGCUGGCGGCGUGCUUAACACAUGCAAGUCGUACGGUAAGGCCCUUUCGGGGGUACACGAGUGGCGAACGGGUGAGUAACACGUGAGUAACCUGCCCACAACUUUGGGAUAACGCUAGGAAACUGGUGCUAAUACUGGAUAUGUGCUCCUGCUGCAUGGUGGGGGUUGGAAAGCUCCGGCGGUUGUGGAUGGACUCGCGGCCUAUCAGCUUGUUGGUGGGGUAGUGGCCUACCAAGGCGGCGACGGGUAGCCGGCCUGAGAGGGUGACCGGCCACAUUGGGACUGAGAUACGGCCCAGACUCCUACGGGAGGCAGCAGUGGGGAAUAUUGCACAAUGGGCGCAAGCCUGAUGCAGCAACGCCGCGGGCGGGAUGACGGCCUUCGGGUUGUAAACCGCUCUCAGCAGGGACGAAGCUUUUUGUGACGGUACCUGCAGAAGAAGCACCGGCUAACUACGUG
This 465-nucleotide ribosomal RNA is filed under the name uncultured bacterium. RNAcentral's name for it is "partial 16S ribosomal RNA". It matches the Rfam family "Bacterial small subunit ribosomal RNA", at positions 28 to 507 of the family's 1533-position model. The record is from RNAcentral.